UCGNCACAGUAUACCAGUAGAAAAGGUUAUUGUUGUUGUGGCUGUUAAUUUGGUCCCCAUAAAGGACUUGAGGGUUGCGAGCAACCGUUUUGCCGUAUUCAGGGUGCUGUGCAGCAAAAUAAUGUGGUGAAAAAUUUUAACAUCGGUUAAAUGGCGAGAGCAAUAUUGAUCAACAGUGAACGCGCUCGGAGCGAAUUUUGGAACACUUCCUAAAAUAUUUACAGAAGCAGCAAAUGCAACUCUGGGAUGUAGCUGAAUAUCAAAUAAUUAGGCAAAUUUGUGCGCGCAUAGUGUUUUUUCCGGAAAAUUUUCGUAGUUUUCGUAAAAUAUUGAGUUUUGUGAAAUAAUAUAUAUGUAAAUCUUGCAUUAGCGAAAUACUGACUUUCUUUUUAAAUAAGAUUUAGACAUUUUGUAUUUGCAAUACACGUGAGUCGUGUGCUAGCAGAGGUUUUACAAAUAUCGGCCUCGUGGAGAUUUGGAAGUUUCUGGCCAAACAACAAACAACCAACAAAAAAAAUGCCGAAAAGAUGUGUAUGCAGAUGUGCAGAAGUAAGCUCCCUCUACAAGUUUCCUUUGGCCUCGGAUGUAUCAAGGCUUAUUGACCAAGAAUGAUACGGGAAGUAAAUGAUCGAAAAUUUUCACAUCAAACCGGUUUCGUGGACUUAUAUUUAAUUAAUAAUUUUAACAUCGCGCCUUUAUUGUAUUUUUAAUAGCUUUAACCUUUUAAUAAGAUAGCUAAGAUGGUACGUGCUGUUAAUUCCUCUUUGUAUCUAAUUAAUUUUAAUUAGUAUGCGUGGAGUUAAAUUUAGUGUAAAAGCAGCAAAAUAUAUUAUUAUGUACUUCGGUUUUCAGCUGCUUACUAGUAAUAAGUCGUAGAUUUAAGUUUUUUUUAAGUUACAGUGUUUAAUUAUAAAAUCGGUAUUUUCAUAUACAUGCAUGUAUGCAUGUACUUAGGUUUUCAGCUACCUUCUAGUAAUUAGGCUUAUGGCCUUAUUCAUAAAAAAAUAAAGUAGGUUUAAAGAGUUUUAUAAAUUGACGUUUUCAUAUA
Molecule: long non-coding RNA, 1048 nt
Organism: Rhagoletis zephyria (snowberry fruit fly)
Lineage: Eukaryota; Metazoa; Arthropoda; Insecta; Diptera; Tephritidae
Source: RefSeq, a predicted model, not a curated record